CCUCAUUCUCUCCCCCUCCUCCCUGCAGGGACAGCCUCCACCCUUACACACACACAGACCCCUGCAGGGACAGCCUCCGCCCCGAGGGCAGGGAGUGAGGGGAAUGGGGAUGGAACAGGUUGGAGGCAGGCACGCUAUGCUAGCAGUGCAGUCAAGGGUGAAGAAGAGCAGGCCUGGGAGAGGGUGUGAAGAACCCUAGUACCAGAGGAGGAGCAGAGAUGGGAGUUUGGGAGCACAGAAUUAUUGCAUGAGAAUGGGGGAGAUGCUCUGGAGUCACCUCUGAGUCCCAUCCCCACCCUGCAGCAGACCCACCUUUCACUGGAACCUGCCCAGAAAGGCAGGAGCUGUGUGCUGCAGCUGCUGAGCCAUGAGCAGCAGGAGCCAGAGCAGAGGGAGGAGAUGUCUGUGGGCUCUGGCACCGGAAAUCCCCGUGGGUUACAACUGCAGCGAUGCUAACCCCCCGGGCACAGCCCGAGCUGCUGCUUCAGCAAGACAAGAUGUGGGGGGAGGGGGUCUCCACCAAGGCUCGGGAAAUGAAGCAGUAAGACUGGUGCCAUCAGGAUCGGGGCAGGAGACAUUGCCUGGAUCCACUCUGGAGCAGCUGCAACCAGUGUGGGCAUCUGCCCUGAAUCCAGAGUCACUCCAGUCUGGGAUCAAGGAUUUUUCACCAUAGGAGAAAAUUGUGUUUCCCACCCAUGGGCUCCUCUAGCUAUAACUGCAGUGACAUUUCAGGUCUGGGACAGCUGCAAGGCACUGGUGCAAUGUGGGGGCUUGUCGGGGCACUGGUCCUGUCGCAUCUGGUGUCCCUGUUGUGGAAUAUUUUCUGCUGCGUGAGACACACGGCACACAGAGAUGAGUCCAGGAAGCUCUUGCCUCAGUUCAGCAGAAGUGUGAAGCAUGUGACUGAGGAGAUUCCAGUUUAUGGCAACAUCAGUUACCUGCAGACAGGGCAAAGUUCUGGGUUUGAAAGCUCAGUGGUUCCAGAGUCCCAGAAAAAGCAGGAAUCCAGCCCCAAGCCUACAUGCUACGCCAACUUCAAGAUGCUGAAACCCCAAGGCCGGCAGCUGCCAGAAUCAUCAGUGGGGGGUGCUGAGAUCCAGUACACAGAUGUGGUGGUGACGGGGCCCAGGCGGUCAGAGCCAGAGAUUUGGGGCGGGGGGCCCCUGAAGGGCAGAGAGGCUACUCGGCCGCAGUCAGAGCUUUAUGCGUCUGUUCAUGCAGACAGCUACACAGCGAAGUUUGAGAACCAAGACUACGCUAACAACCAUGGGGUUCCCAGCUGAAGGGUGGGGGGCUAACGGAGUUCUGUGUGCAUGAUCCAUAGCAAUAAAUUUAGGCUUCACUAAUGGCUCCA
RNAcentral lists this long non-coding RNA (1354 nucleotides) under Gopherus agassizii (Agassiz's desert tortoise). RNAcentral's name for it is "lncRNA (ENSGAGG00000005829.1)". Lineage: Eukaryota; Metazoa; Chordata; Testudines; Testudinidae. The record is from RNAcentral.